CACAGACUCUGCUAGAGAGAAGUUCCUUGAAGACGGGCUCCAGCAUGAAUCAGAAAGCACAGAAGACUGAAAACCUCUGAUCCAGUCAAACAAGUCAAUCCGCUGGAGGGUUUCAAACAAAGGCUGGCUCACCACCUAUUGAAGAUCUUCUAAGUGACCUCAAAGAGAAACAGUUGUGCCGUACAAGCAUGUUGAUUCCCGUUUCAGAAAUCAAGCUGAAACAUUAGCUGCCAAAUCUCAGCACAAUCCUUUGCCAUCUCAGCAAGCUCAUCCUGAAUGCAGAUCUGAUGACCGUUUCAUUCAAUAUUUGGGCUUGCACAUUAGCUUGUGUGUGAUUAUCUCUCCUCCUUGGAUUCACUUGCAGAAUCCUCUCCAUGUGUAAUUUGGCCAUCUACAAGCAGCUACUAUUGCUCAAAGAAGAAAAAAAAUGGAGAUUCCAAUUGAGAUGUUUAAUAUACCUAAACAAUGUAAUUAAUUCAGAUUAAGUUAUAUAAAUAAAAAAUAAGCAACCCUAUCAACUCAUGAAGCACUACAUAAAACAGAGAUGAUAUCAGAAUGAAAAUGGAUGACAUAUCAAGACUUUCUGAUAUUUGAAAAAGAGAUUCAAGAUAAAUACAAGAGAACAAUUAGUAAGUGAAGGAUUUACUUGUGAUUCUUUUAAUUAUUAUAGAAUUUUUGAAAGAUUUAAAUUUUAUUUAAAAAGUUUUGUUUUCACAGGAAGUAAAUCUAAAUUGGGUGUUUAUUUAUGUUCUGGUGAUUUGUAAAGUAUAUAAAAUAUUAUUCCAGAUGAAUCUGGAAGAUGAAUACGGUAAAAAUUGCAUGGUAAAAUGGACAAAAAAUGGGUAUAACUCAAUGCUAGCUAAAUGGGAGAAUGUAUGGAUGAAUGGAUUAAAAUUAACAUUAAAUUAUAGUUUGAAAGAAUUUUUUUAUAAAACAAUGUAUCGUUGAUAUUUGACCCCAAAUAGACUAUGUAGAAAGGGUUUUCUAAUAAGUGUUGGAAAUGUAGUUAAAAUCAAGGUUAAUUUUAUCAUAUGUGGUGGUCUUGCAAAUAUGUGAAAACAUACUGGAUAUACAUAACAAUGACAAUGCAGAAAAUAUUUAAGAUACAAAUAUUAAUGAAACCUGAAGCUUUUCUUUUAGAUAUGAUGGAUUAGCCAACUGAAAAACAAUUUGUCAUGCUAUUCCUGUACAUGGUGAUAGCUACAAGGAUUGUACUUGCAAAACACUGGAAAGAAAAAGGGAUACCAACCAUUAAAAAAUGGAUUUUGAAACUGACUGAAUUAGCAAAGAUGGCGAAAUUAACUGCUUUGAUUACAGAUAAUGAACUAGACAGCUUUAUAAGAGACUGGAAACUGUUUGUGGACUUCGUACGCAUUAAAUACCACAACAGAUGGCUAACAACGAUUUGAAGAUUAGUGUAAUGUUUAGCUUAACCUGUUGACUGCUUUUUCAUAUAUAUAGAUUCUACAUGUUAAAUGUUAAAUUUA
Molecule: long non-coding RNA, 1487 nt
Organism: Crotalus tigris (Tiger rattlesnake)
Lineage: Eukaryota; Metazoa; Chordata; Lepidosauria; Squamata; Viperidae
Exons: 5
Source: RefSeq, a predicted model, not a curated record